GAUGAAUCGACCUUUAAAGCUCUAAAUGGCUUGGGAACGGGUUACCUGAGAGAGCAUCUUGCCCCAUAUGUCUCAUCCCAGUCUUUAAGAUCUUCUUCAGAGGCCCUCCUCCGGGUGCCCCUACCAAAUGAGAGACUGAUUGACUGGAAAGGUUUCGGGGCAAAUUGUGUCUGAGAGAAAAGGAAUGAGCAUUCCAAACAGAUGCUGAAGAGGAACCCCAGCUCGCCUGUUGUGGAACAGGAGGAGGCUGCCAGGGAGCUGUUUCCUUCUUCAGAUGGGGAGGAGCUGGGACCAAGCAGCAGACCGGUGAGCCAUGUGGUGCGUUGGCGUGAUCGCAGAAAGGAGCAGCGUUUUGUGCAGAGAAGGAGCAGCUGUUUGGCUGAAAAGUCUGAUAGGGGAGGCAUCUG
This is a long non-coding RNA of Hemicordylus capensis (graceful crag lizard), 407 nucleotides long. RefSeq lists it as uncharacterized. Lineage: Eukaryota; Metazoa; Chordata; Lepidosauria; Squamata; Cordylidae. The record is from RefSeq and is a predicted model, not a curated record. The transcript is spliced from 3 exons.